GCCCCUAUAGCUCAGUUGGUAGAGCUAUCGCCUUUUAAGCGACAGGUCGCAGGUUCGAGUCCUGCUGGGGGCACC
Molecule: transfer RNA, 75 nt
Filed under: Mycobacterium phage Acquire49
Lineage: Duplodnaviria; Heunggongvirae; Uroviricota; Caudoviricetes; Vilmaviridae
Also listed under: 9 other names
Description: tRNA-Lys
Rfam family: tRNA
About the family: Transfer RNA (tRNA) molecules are approximately 80 nucleotides in length. Their secondary structure includes four short double-helical elements and three loops (D, anti-codon, and T loops).
Source: RNAcentral